CAGGCAGCGAUCCGUGAGUGCUGCAACCAACGAGGAGUGAAGACGUGUUACCCACGGGGUUACGAGCACACAGGUAGAGGCGCUCCCCAUGGUGGAAAUCAGUUCCCAGCCUUCUACCCCAAUGCCAUUUCUGCAUAAGAAACUUCAAAUUACCACCGCUGGAUCCCCUGAAAGCUAAAGGCAACCACAGAAAACCACCCCAAGUAACCAAUCUGGGCUCUGGGUACGAGGAAGACCCCGCAGCCGAAGCUGAAUUUGACCAGGAUUCCAGCCACGUCUCAGGCUCAAACUGCUAGAGAAGGGGCUGGGAAACGGGCUGGGACGACAUGGCCAAAGCCACCAACCAACAUGGCUGUCCUGGCUGUGCCGAGCCCAGCAGUGACUUCUGCAGAACAUCGACGGUAAGUGGAGCCACCCAGGUACAGGAGCUGAUUUCUCAGAGAAAUAACCUUAUUUCUCAAUGAAAAUGGAAGCCCUCGCUCCCCGGGUGGCAUGGGAAAGCACUGACAGAGUCUUUGUUACACAGCCUGCUUCCCAUACUGUUUGUCACUGAAUCCCCGUUUGUCUUGUUAGCUUCAUCUUGGCAGCGUCCCUGUAAGCCUGGGGAAGUUAAGCUCUUCCAUGGCAUGGGCUGCUCUUCACACUGACUGCGUCUCUGCUCGAUACCAGACCAGCUCAGUCUGUUACCUGAACCAGAGCAGCAUCUCGACAUAAAAAAUGCUCCCAGAGAAAAGCUGCAUGAUACUGGAGUUGGCAGUGAUUUCCUGAAUGUGACACCAAAGGCAAGGUAAUACAAGUUGGACUGCAUCAAAAUUAAGAAAUGCAUCAAAGGACACUACCAACAAUGGUAAAAGGCAACCCAAGAGUGGGAGAAAGUAUUUGCAACUCAGAUAUCUAAUGAAGGGCUCAUAUCUAAAAUAUACAGAGAACUCCUAAAAAUCAACAACAAAAAAAUCAAAUAGCCCAAUUAAAAAAUGCACAAAGGACCAAUAGACAGUUGUCCAAAGAUGUACAAAUGGCCAAUAAGCACAUGACAAGAGGCUUGACAUCACUCGUCUUCAGGGAAAGUCAGUACCACCUGACUCUCAUUAGGAUGGCCACUACCCAACAUGGAAGGUGAGUGCUGCUGAGGAUGUGGAGAAAUUGGAACCCUUGGCAUUGCAGGCGGGAAUGUAAAAUGGUGCAGCCACUGUGGAAAACAGGGCGGGUCCUCAAAAAAUUAAACGGAGUUAUUUAACCCAGCAAUUCGACUUUGGGGCACAUACCCGACAGAAUUGAAAACAGGGGCCUGCACGGACAUUAGUCCAUCUGUGUUCACAGCAGCCAUAUUCACAACAGACAAAAGGUGGGAGCAACCCAGAUGCUCACCGAUGAAUGGAUAAACAAAACGUGGUGUAUUCAUACAAUGGAAUAUUACUCAGCCUUGAAAAGGACACCUGCUACAACACGGAUGAACUUCGAAGAAUAUAUGCUAAGUGAAAUAGGCCAGACACAAAAGGACGAAUAUGGUAUGAUGUCCCCAGAGUAGUCACAUUCAUAAGACAGAAAGGACAAUAGUGGUUACCAGGCCCGGGGGACAGAGGACUGGGGAACAAAAUUUACUCCAAGAGACUGGGGAGCUAACAACAACAAAAGCCCCGCCGUAGGCUGCUCCUGGGCCUUAACCCAGCUAGGAGCCUGCUUUGUAGUUAAGUCCUACAGACAUUUCCCAGGACGUGGGAGUUGAAAGGGUAUUUUUAUCAUUAAAGCUGAGGCCACAAGCACGAAGCCCGUAGACUACAUUCAAGCAGCACAUAUUUUUUGUCUGGCUUAAAUGAUAUUUAAGAAAAUUGGGGCCAGCCUAAGAAAAUUGGCAGAUUUCUCGAUUCUCAAAACAAAAAUAUCAGAAGCUCUGGCAACACUGGGUCCAUAUUCCUAUGGGUGAACAACUGAGCUGCUGCCAUCAGAGCAUGGUUCCCACUCCAGCUGGUGACACUCAAGCUCACAUCACUAAUAUUUGUUAUCUGAUUGGCCCCGGGAGGCACCUGAGUUUCCAGUGCACAUCUACAAGGUCAGACUCAGGGCUUUCU
Molecule: long non-coding RNA, 2069 nt
Organism: Hipposideros armiger (great roundleaf bat)
Lineage: Eukaryota; Metazoa; Chordata; Mammalia; Chiroptera; Hipposideridae
Exons: 3
Source: RefSeq, a predicted model, not a curated record